CACAACAUGUGACCAAUUUACAUGGAUCAGGAACAUUGAUUAAGUCAGCCACCACGUGGGCUGGACAGGCCAUGAUUAAAAAAAAAUAAUUCAAGGUUGAGUUAUAGAAACCAUCUAAUCAGCGGCCCAUUAGAACGACAGUCCUGAUCACUGUACAUUUCCAUGGGUAUGGUAUAAAGUGCUCAAAGUAUUUCUGUUCCUGAAUUUAUGACUUUCUCCAUCCAUGAAUAUUUGUAGAACUGACUUCA
Molecule: long non-coding RNA, 248 nt
Organism: Magnolia sinica
Lineage: Eukaryota; Viridiplantae; Streptophyta; Magnoliopsida; Magnoliales; Magnoliaceae
Exons: 2
Source: RefSeq, a predicted model, not a curated record